This is an RNA transcript of Gorilla gorilla gorilla (western lowland gorilla), 2460 nucleotides long. It is a transcript of the gene named ERCC excision repair 2, TFIIH core complex helicase subunit, with no coding region annotated. Lineage: Eukaryota; Metazoa; Chordata; Mammalia; Primates; Hominidae. The transcript has 24 exons. The record is from RefSeq and is a predicted model, not a curated record.
UAAUGUAGGUGGAGCGAGCCCUCGAGGAUGUCCACGACCCGGCCUCUCGCUGAAUAUUCAUGAGGGAGGCGGGUCGACGCCGCUGCACAGUCCGGCCGGCGCCAUGAAGCUCAACGUGGACGGGCUCCUGGUCUACUUCCCGUACGACUACAUCUACCCCGAGCAGUUCUCCUACAUGCGGGAGCUCAAACGCACGCUGGACGCCAAGGGUCAUGGAGUCCUGGAGAUGCCCUCAGGCACCGGGAAGACAGUGUCCCUGUUGGCCCUGAUCAUGGCAUACCAGAGAGCAUAUCCGCUGGAGGUGACCAAACUCAUCUACUGCUCAAGAACUGUGCCAGAGAUUGAGAAGGUGAUUGAAGAGCUUCGAAAGUUGCUCAACUUCUAUGAGAAGCAGGAGGGCGAGAAGCUGCCAUUUCUGGGACUGGCUCUGAGCUCCCGCAAAAACUUGUGUAUUCACCCUGAGGUGACACCCCUGCGCUUUGGGAAGGACGUCGAUGGGAAAUGCCACAGCCUCACAGCCUCCUAUGUGCGGGCGCAGUACCAGCAUGACACCAGCCUGCCCCACUGCCGCUUCUAUGAGGAAUUUGACGCCCAUGGGCGUGAGGUGCCCCUCCCCGCUGGCAUCUACAACCUGGAUGACCUGAAGGCCCUGGGGCGGCGCCAGGGCUGGUGUCCAUACUUCCUUGCUCGAUACUCAAUCCUGCAUGCCAAUGUGGUGGUUUAUAGCUACCACUACCUCCUGGACCCCAAGAUUGCAGACCUGGUGUCCAAGGAACUGGCCCGCAAGGCCGUCGUGGUCUUCGACGAGGCCCACAACAUUGACAACGUCUGCAUCGACUCCAUGAGCGUCAACCUCACCCGCCGGACCCUUGACCGGUGCCAGGGCAACCUGGAGACCCUGCAGAAGACGGUGCUCAGGAUCAAAGAGACAGACGAGCAGCGCCUGCGGGACGAGUACCGGCGUCUGGUGGAGGGGCUGCGGGAGGCCAGCGCCGCCCGGGAGACGGACGCCCACCUGGCCAACCCCGUGCUGCCCGACGAAGUGCUGCAGGAGGCAGUGCCUGGCUCCAUCCGCACGGCCGAGCAUUUCCUGGGCUUCCUGAGGCGGCUGCUGGAGUACGUGAAGUGGCGGCUGCGUGUGCAGCAUGUGGUGCAGGAGAGCCCGCCCGCCUUCCUGAGCGGCCUGGCCCAGCGCGUGUGCAUCCAGCGCAAGCCCCUCAGAUUCUGUGCUGAACGCCUCCGGUCCCUGCUGCAUACUCUGGAGAUCACCGACCUUGCUGACUUCUCCCCGCUUACCCUCCUUGCUAACUUUGCCACCCUUGUCAGCACCUAUGCCAAAGGCUUCACCAUCAUCAUCGAGCCCUUUGACGACAGAACCCCGACCAUUGCCAACCCCAUCCUGCACUUCAGCUGCAUGGACGCCUCGCUGGCCAUCAAACCCGUAUUCGAGCGUUUCCAGUCUGUCAUCAUCACAUCUGGGACACUGUCCCCGCUGGACAUCUACCCCAAGAUCCUGGACUUCCACCCCGUCACCAUGGCAACCUUCACCAUGACGCUGGCACGGGUCUGCCUCUGCCCUAUGAUCAUCGGCCGUGGCAAUGACCAGGUGGCCAUCAGCUCCAAAUUUGAGACCCGGGAGGAUAUUGCUGUGAUCCGGAACUAUGGGAACCUCCUGCUGGAGAUGUCCGCUGUGGUCCCUGAUGGCAUCGUGGCCUUCUUCACCAGCUACCAGUACAUGGAGAGCACCGUGGCCUCCUGGUAUGAGCAGGAGCUUGUGGUGUUAGCUUUCACAUCCAGGUCUAUGAGGGGAUCCUUGAGAACAUCCAGAGGAACAAGCUGCUCUUUAUUGAGACCCAGGAUGGUGCCGAAACCAGUGUCGCCCUGGAGAAGUACCAGGAGGCCUGCGAGAACGGCCGCGGGGCCAUCCUGCUGUCAGUGGCCCGGGGCAAAGUGUCCGAGGGAAUCGACUUUGUGCACCACUAUGGGCGGGCCGUCAUCAUGUUUGGCGUCCCCUACGUCUACACACAGAGCCGCAUUCUCAAGGCGCGGCUGGAAUACCUGCGGGACCAGUUCCAGAUUCGUGAGAAUGACUUUCUUACCUUUGAUGCCAUGCGCCACGCGGCCCAGUGUGUGGGUCGGGCCAUCAGGGGCAAGACGGACUACGGCCUCAUGGUCUUUGCCGACAAGCGGUUUGCCCGUGGGGACAAGCGGGGGAAGCUGCCCCGCUGGAUCCAGGAGCACCUCACAGAUGCCAACCUCAACCUGACUGUGGACGAGGGUGUCCAGGUGGCCAAGUACUUCCUGCGGCAGAUGGCACAGCCCUUCCACCGGGAGGAUCAGCUGGGCCUGUCCCUGCUCAGCCUGGAGCAGCUAGAAUCAGAGGAGACGCUGCAGAGAAUAGAGCAGAUUGCUCAGCAGCUCUGAGUGGGGCGGGUGGGGCCCAUAAACGGUUCCUGGUGA